UACGAAGGGGGCGAGCGUUGUUCGGAAUUACUGGGCGUAAAGGGCGCGUAGGCGGCGACUCUAGUCAGAUGUGAAAGUCCUGGGCUUAACCUGGGGACUGCAUUUGAUACUGGGUUGCUUGAAUUCGGGAGAGGAUAGCGGAAUUCCCAGUGUAGAGGUGAAAUUCGUAGAUAUUGGGAAGAACACCGGUGGCGAAGGCAAUCCCCUGGGCCUGCACUGACGCUCAUGCACGAAAGCGUGGGGAGCAAACAGG
RNAcentral lists this ribosomal RNA (253 nucleotides) under uncultured bacterium. RNAcentral's name for it is "partial 16S ribosomal RNA". It matches the Rfam family "Bacterial small subunit ribosomal RNA", at positions 524 to 776 of the family's 1533-position model. The record is from RNAcentral.